GUUCCCCAAUGUUCGUCGGUCAGUGUAACUAUGAACCAGGAAUUGCAUACAACUGCACACAAUGUGAACGUCAAGGUCAACACUGUGUAUUCAACUCACAGAUGAACCAAACAUUCUGCAUGCCCCACGGUAUGAUUUCUAACUGGCUAACACCAUAUCUAGUAGCACCAUACCACCUUUUCUUACAUGGGUUUCAUACUUUCAUGCACUAGAAAUCCUUAUAAUUUUCAGUAUAGAAAUUACAAAGACACUGCUAUUCCUGGUUCGUUGACAUUCGCGAGAAUUUGCUGCCAGACUAUCCUACAAAAUAAUAGUCACCACUGCAGAAUAUGGAUGAACCAAUUCUGCUCAAAAUCUUUUAAGAAAAGCAAACAACAGGGAAUUAUAUGUUAAUCCAGCAGUAGUAAGCAACCAUUACUAUAAAGAGUUUUUAGAGCCUAACUGUUAUGUGUUUGUGUUAUGGGUGGGUAGCACUGCUAGAGUCGUAGAUCCAUGACUCUCUAACUUACUCACAACAACCUAACUUAAUUGUAGGGCCAUCUUGACAAGCAGGCAAUCUCAGCAUGCCCCAACAAAGUAGGUGGUGGGUGCUCUAGCCCUCUCUGCAACUGCCCUAGCCCCUCACCUAAACCAGCUAGCACAUGAGCUGCCACUCCAUAACACUAUCGCUCUAACACUACUAAAGAGGACCCACACUUCACAAAUAAUGAAGGGGAAAAAAGGAGAAAAAUGUGACUAUAUGGUGGUGCACUGUGGCAUUGGUUGGCAUUGGGUGCUCCCGGUCCGUGUGGCAUUGCAGUAAUUACAGAGGUUGCGUUGGUGGUGUGGUGUGAGGAACAGAGGCCGACAUCAGUAUUCGCGACAGUGUGCAGGUCAGCAAGAUGGCUGGUGGUGCGACAGGGGUGGCAGCUUUCAUCGCUUUAUUGCAGCCAGGUGGUCACCAUGAUGGCUAGUCCUGCGGAGCGGCGGCUUAUCUGGUGCAGGGAGCUGACCUGGUCUUAGGUGGCGCCCUUUGCUUGGAUGCCACUGCACAUGCAGACGGUGAAGAGAAGGGCAGAGCAAGAGGUUUUUUGUGGGGAGUGGUGCUGGUAAUGGCUGUGCGGAUUGUAGUUUGGGGGCUAGCGGUGUGAGCUGUUGUGGUUUGGCAGUGUGGUUGCCAACGAUUGACGAAGACUUGCAAGUGACAACGGUGUAGUGCAGUGCAGUGGAGACCCGUGCUGCGAAGAUUGGCAAUGUUGUGAUUGUAGUGUGUUGUUCAGCGCUUGUUCUGGCUUGGCCAACCUGCCAUAGUAGAUUGUUGUAGGUUGUUGUGGUUAGGGUUGUUGCUUAGUAUUGAGUUGCAUGCACCAACUGGUUCAACCCUAAUAUACACCAACUGGUUCAACCCUAAUAUGGAAAAAUGAGUAGUUUAUUUAUACUCCAACAGUUGGUUGCUUUAAUUUACCCUUUUGGGUUCUUGUUCUGUCUGAUCUAGGUUUCUUCUUUUUAACACAAUUGGCAACUCUCAUGCCUAUUUCGUUAUAAAAAUAAAAGGUGCAAGCAGAAGAUAGAACGAGCGACUUAAUAAGUGCUUUGUAUGAUAAGAACCACCUAAGAAACGAAAGGGGAGACAAUAGUAAAAGAAGAAAUAGUUGCAUAGAGUAAAAGACUCAGCCAGUGGGAAAGACCACUCCCACGGUUUUCUAUUGGUAGAGAAGAUCCCAGCCAAAUAGCUGCAUAAAGUAACUGAAUAAAGAACCAAUGCGACAUUGUUUGUUGGUAGAAGAUCAGGUUAAUAGUGCGGGUUCUUACUUGGGACCCUAAUAGACAUUAGUCUGUCGAAAACUUAGGUAAUACAUGGAGGAACUACAACUCAAAUCACUUGAUCACCAGAGUUGGCGCCACCAAUUGGCUUCGGAUGUUUAGAUUGUUUGGAAUGAACCUCCCUUUGAUGAUAUCUGCUGAAUAAUAUGCAAGGAAUAUUUCUCUUUUACAUACAUACAUACAUAUAUACAUACAUACGUAUAUACAUGUAUAUAUAUAUAUAUAUAUAAACUUAAAAAGUUAAAACUUCUUGUAUCCAUUGGGGAUCUGGACCACGUCUUCUGGCCACUCGUAUUAAAAUGUUAGAUCGUACCUUUUCUUAACCAACAAGAUAAUUUCCCUUUUUGUACUAAACCGCUAAUGAAGUCUUAUUUCUUCUUUGGUAAUUACAGGUUCACGCGUCAAAGUCAUUGCAGGUAAUGCUGCAAAGAAAACUAAUGAUCCUUACAUUCUCUGAUCCCAUCAACAAGUGGUGGUUUUCUAUCCUGAUUUCUCAUUCUCUGGUUUCUGCUUGUCAGCCACAUCAUCGACAGCAGCAUUAGUUGUUAUUUUGUUGAUGGUGGCCACUGCACUCUAUCUUUCACUUAAGUCAAGAUAUAAUGAAGAAAUACACUUGAAGGUUCAAAUGUUUCUCAACAAAACCCACAAGGUACACUUUCGCUGAAGUUAAGAAGAUAGCAAGGCUGUUUAAGGAAAAGGUAGGCCAAGGGGGAUUUGGAAGUGUAUACAAAGGCGAGCUACCAAGUGGAGUGCCUGUGGCCGUCAAAAUGCUAGAGAACUCUACAGGAGAGGGAGAUGAAUUCAUCAAUGAAGUUGCAACCAUAGGACUAAUCCACCAUGCAAAUUUUGUGCGCCUCUUGGGAUUUUGCUCUCAAGGAACAAGACGUGCCCUUAUUUAUGAAUUCAUGCCUAACGAGUCAUUGGAGAAAUAUAUAUUCUUGCAUGCUUCUGGAGCAUCUCAACAACUCCUAGUACCAAACAAGCGCAUUGCAAAAAGCGCAUCCUCCACUUUGACAUCAAGCCUCACAACAUCUUGCUGUACUACAAGUUCAACCCAAAGAUCUCAGACUUCGGCCUUGCAAAACUUUGUGCGAGGGAUCAAAGCAUUGUUACCUUGACAACAGCAAGAGGUACUAUGGGCUAUAUUGCACCAGAGUUGUAUUCUCGGAAUUUUGGAGAAGUAUCCUACAAGUCAGAUGUUUACAGUUUUGGCAUGCUGGUGUUAGAAAUGGUAAGUGGGAGGAGGAACUCAGAUCCAGGUGUUGCCAGCCAAAAUGAAGUUUACCUCCCAGAGUGGAUCUUCGAGAAGGUAAUCACGUGGCAUGACUUGGUGCUUGCUCGAGAAAUGACAGGAGAAGAGAGAGAAAAGAUCAGACAGCUAGCCAUUGUGGCUCUGUGGUGCAUUCAAUGGAACCCAAGAAAUCGACCCUCGAUGACAAAGGUGGUGAACAUGUUGACAGGGAGGUUGGAGAACCUACAGAUGCCCCCAAAGCCUUUCAUCUCAUCUGAAAGUCAUCCUGUGCCAUAGAGCAUGGAGAAUACUAUGCCACAUGAUUUAAUGAAUAUUUGAGAGAGAGAUAAACUUAGUUCCUCCUGUGUUGCAUAGUAAUGCAUAGUACUAUAGCAUGUGAUGGUUGUUCAGUCUUUUGACGGGUAUUAGCACAUGACAUAUGAAUAGUAAGAUGUCACCAUGUAAUACUAUUUAUUUGCAAUAUAUCAGAUUUGCAGUUGAUGUAUUCAGUAAUCCGAAGGCAAUAUUUUAAAUUUUCAUAUUCUGUAAUACCAAGUAUGUUCUUCCUCACUGAAUUUCCAGGAAAGAGCAAAUGUGUUCUGUUUUCAAUCAACCAAUAAUUAGUGUUAGAUGGAGAACUCACUGUCAAGAGCAUUCGCAUGUGGUAGAUCAUGCCAUCUCUAUUCCCAGGUGCUACAGGUUUUACAAUGUGAAUGGAUGCGUAAGCAUGGGGUCUGAGACUCUGACCACUAUUCCUACUCGAGAUUUUGCAGAACAAAAAACAAAAGGAAAUCAAGUCGAAGGGCUUACCUUUGCCAGUGCCAAGGAGAAGGCAGAUCUAGGUUGCAUCGAGCUGCCGUGGGUCGGCACUACGGCAGGCCCCCUUGCAAGAGCAGAGAGGCCGGCGACGACGAGAAACAGCAUCGGUGUAGAAUGGUAAAGUAGGGGGAAUCGACAGCGGCGCACUAGGAGAGACGUGACGCUUCCUCCCCGGCGCGUGAUUAGUUACAAGGGAUCGCCGCCCAGUGGCGGCCGCGGCCGCGGCCGGAGCACCGGCGGUGGGAAGAGGCAUCUGUGAUUCGCCGUUUCUAAUAAAAUUGGGCUGGGUUUCGUACUUUUGCGGUGUGUUGGGCUUGAUGGACCAGCCCACUGAAAAUCUCGGAGGUAGGCCCAAGUGUUACCGCCGGAAGCCUGGCCGUAACAGAUAAGGAAUCCUGCUUCUGCAUUUGC
RNAcentral lists this long non-coding RNA (4264 nucleotides) under Setaria italica (foxtail millet). RNAcentral describes it as "long non-coding RNA (SITA_LNC003783)". The record is from RNAcentral. Lineage: Eukaryota; Viridiplantae; Streptophyta; Magnoliopsida; Poales; Poaceae.